Molecule: ribosomal RNA, 322 nt
Filed under: Synechococcus sp. KUAC 3088
Lineage: Bacteria; Bacillati; Cyanobacteriota; Cyanophyceae; Synechococcales; Synechococcaceae
Description: bacterial SSU rRNA
Rfam family: Bacterial small subunit ribosomal RNA
Source: RNAcentral
GAGGGAGGAAUGCCUGUGGGUUGUAAACCUCUUUUAUCAGGGAAGAAGAUCUGACGGUACCUGAUGAAUCAGCAUCGGCUAACUCCGUGCCAGCAGCCGCGGUAAGACGGAGGAGGCAAGCGUUAUCCGGAAUUAUUGGGCGUAAAGCGUCCGCAGGUGGCCUGUUAAGUCUGCUGUUAAAGCCCAGGGCUUAACUCUGGAUCAGCGGUGGAAACUGGCAGGCUAGAGUACGGUAGGGGUAGAGGGAAUUCCUGGUGUAGCGGUGAAAUGCGUAGAUAUCGGGAAGAACACCGGUGGCGAAAGCGCUGCUAUUGGGCCGUAA